GUUGUAAGGAACAGGAACACGAACAGGAGAAGGGGAAGGAGAAGUCUGCGACCUCCUUCAUCAUAACAAUGAGGACCCCCGCAAGCUUAAAGAACAGUGCCCCACCUCCCGUCUGGAGCCUUCUGGACUUACUAUUGAAUAAUACAACUUCAGAUCUAUGCCGGUUUAAAGCAUCUCUCAUCUGGUUUCCAGUCAAAAUCUGGCAUCAAAUCAAAAUCUGGCAAUGGAAGAACUGGACCUGUCUAUUGUAGGACCUAACUCAACCUAACUCAAAGCAG
Long non-coding RNA from Pristis pectinata (smalltooth sawfish), 278 nucleotides. RefSeq lists it as uncharacterized. The transcript has 3 exons. The record is from RefSeq and is a predicted model, not a curated record. Lineage: Eukaryota; Metazoa; Chordata; Chondrichthyes; Rhinopristiformes; Pristidae.